This is a long non-coding RNA of Limulus polyphemus (Atlantic horseshoe crab), 1767 nucleotides long. RefSeq lists it as uncharacterized. The transcript is spliced from 3 exons. The record is from RefSeq and is a predicted model, not a curated record. NCBI's taxonomy places the organism in Eukaryota, Metazoa, Arthropoda, Merostomata, Xiphosura, Limulidae.
AGACAAGUUCCGUUUGCUAGAUAUUGCAGGAAGGUGGUUACCUUGACGAUGGAAAGUGAAAUCUGGAUAACAGUUUUAAUACAUCAUGUACGACAAGAUAUACAAAACUGAGGGAAUUAAAAGCAACGACAGGGGAACUAUUAAAGAUGCUACGAAGCCCAGGCUAAUAUGCUGAUUGUCGUGCCAGCCAAUCGUGACAGACCUGCAGAAAACACGCGACUAUUAAUAGUGAGAACGUCAUCAAAAGAAAAAAAAACACAGACUAACUUUUUCCUAUAGAAAAUUAAAUUUAGUCUGUGACGAAGCUAUGGACUUGGAAGAUGAAGAACUGACGAGUUUAUUCUUCAACACAACCCUGGUAGUAGACAGAUACGACACAGACGUGAAAAUUCGAAAAACAUUAUACACACACACACACACACACGUGUCUAUGACAGUCUAUGUAAAUGACAGUUUAUAUUAAAACGAAAACAUGGUAUUUUUUUCUACAUUUUAGCUUCUAGCCCUUUUCGGAAAUCGAGAACACGACCAGAGUUUUUUAUUCAACAAAAACAUAGGUUGUGUUUUUAUUGUAUUGCGAGUAUAACACUCCAAUCAGCACUUCAAAACCUAAAAAAACAAACGAUAUUUAACCAAUUUUAUCUUAACUAAUUCGUUUCAAGACGCCAAACAAGAAAAUGGGAAGAUACACAGACUCCUGAAGAAUAAAGGUAAAUCCACAUAGAGUUGAAUACAAGCAUUAAGUUCUUUAAGUAUGUGAUUUUAUACGUGUUUCCCUUUCCUCGGUCAAUGUUAUAACUCUAACAUGAUUCAAAUAAAUAUUUUGUCUUCCAGACGUGCAUUAAUAAAGAAUACUUUACCUAUACAAUUUUACCUAUACUUGGUGUGGAAACAAUGUAGUAACCAGAAAACAUUAUAAUUCAACUUAAGCUACAUUUAUGAAGUUCUAAGUUUUUAACGUAAAUUUAAUACAUGUAAGUAUAUGUGUGUGUGGUUUUUUUGAAGUUCUUAAAAUUUCAAACAGUUAGUGUUUUUAGUUUGAAAAAAAAAGCUUCUAGGAAACACUAUUCGUGGAACUCUUAUCUCGCGCUGGCAACGUGAUAGGGUAGACAGUCUUAACCUCUACUUAUGAUUUUCUUCCCCUCGAGCGGGCCCUAGCAAUAACCUUGACGUUAUAGUGUUGCUGUGAGAGAUAACAUCAAGUUACAGGUGUUUGGAGUGUGGUAUAAAAACACAAAUUUAGAAUUUCUGUUUUUUCCUUUUUGUCAAGUGAACAUUUAUCAUCUAGAAUUUUCACAACUUUUCCCCGUAAACAUAUUUGUAACGGUAUGUGUAGUUUUGACAAUAGAACAUUGAUCAAGCAAUGUGGUUUACUUCCUUUUGUACAACUUACUUAUUGUUCUAGGUCAUUCCACUUCAUAAUCAUAUCAGCUUUUUCAUGGGUAAGAUUACUGUAAAGUACAACAGUGAUAUUUUUAUACUGGUAGAUCAAGUAGUAACUUGAGACUUUGCCUUCCCUAAUUUUGCUAUUUGAAUGAUAAUCAGCGAUACGAGUAGUAUGUGCGCACAUGACAGGGACGUUUAUAGAACCUUCUACAUAGUUCUCUACUCUCUUAGUCUGAAACACCAAGUUAUUCAGAAAUAACUCUAAUUGAGGAGAACAUCUGGAGACAAGAGCCAGUUAAUCUUCAGUAAAAACAUUAUCUUCUGUCCAGUACAGUUGUUUGUUUUUAACUGUUUUAUGUAUUGAAUAAAGAUUAAUAUUCA